Molecule: ribosomal RNA, 1369 nt
Filed under: uncultured bacterium
Lineage: Bacteria
Description: bacterial SSU rRNA
Rfam family: Bacterial small subunit ribosomal RNA
Source: RNAcentral
GACGAACGCUGGCGGCGUGCCUAAUACAUGCAAGUAGAACGCUGAAGAGAGGAGCUUGCUCUUCUUGGAUGAGUUGCGAACGGGUGAGUAACGCGUAGGUAACCUGCCUGGUAGCGGGGGAUAACUAUUGGAAACGAUAGCUAAUACCGCAUGACAUUGAUUAUCGCAUGAUAAUAAAUUGAAAGGUGCAAUUGCAUCACUACCAGAUGGACCUGCGUUGUAUUAGCUAGUUGGUGAGGUAACGGCUCACCAAGGCGACGAUACAUAGCCGACCUGAGAGGGUGAUCGGCCACACUGGGACUGAGACACGGCCCAGACUCCUACGGGAGGCAGCAGUAGGGAAUCUUCGGCAAUGGGGGGAACCCUGACCGAGCAACGCCGCGUGAGUGAAGAAGGUUUUCGGAUCGUAAAGCUCUGUUGUAAGAGAAGAACGGGUGUGAGAGUGGAAAGUUCACACUGUGACGGUAUCUUACCAGAAAGGGACGGCUAACUACGUGCCAGCAGCCGCGGUAAUACGUAGGUCCCGAGCGUUGUCCGGAUUUAUUGGGCGUAAAGCGAGCGCAGGCGGUUAGAUAAGUCUGAAGUUAAAGGCUGUGGCUUAACCAUAGUAUGCUUUGGAAACUGUUUAACUUGAGUGCAGAAGGGGAGAGUGGAAUUCCAUGUGUAGCGGUGAAAUGCGUAGAUAUAUGGAGGAACACCGGUGGCGAAAGCGGCUCUCUGGUCUGUAACUGACGCUGAGGCUCGAAAGCGUGGGGAGCAAACAGGAUUAGAUACCCUGGUAGUCCACGCCGUAAACGAUGAGUGCUAGGUGUUAGGCCCUUUCCGGGGCUUAGUGCCGCAGCUAACGCAUUAAGCACUCCGCCUGGGGAGUACGACCGCAAGGUUGAAACUCAAAGGAAUUGACGGGGGCCCGCACAAGCGGUGGAGCAUGUGGUUUAAUCCGAAGCAACGCGAAGAACCUUACCAGGUCUUGACAUCCCUCUGACCACUCUAGAGAUAGAGUUUUCCUUCGGGACAGAGGUGACAGGUGGUGCAUGGUUGUCGUCAGCUCGUGUCGUGAGAUGUUGGGUUAAGUCCCGCAACGAGCGCAACCCCUAUUGUUAGUUGCCAUCAUUGAGUUGGGCACUCUAGCGAGACUGCCGGUAAUAAACCGGAGGAAGGUGGGGAUGACGUCAAAUCAUCAUGCCCCUUAUGACCUGGGCUACACACGUGCUACAAUGGCUGGUACAACGAGUCGCAAGCCGGUGACGGCAAGCUAAUCUCUGAAAGCCAGUCUCAGUUCGGAUUGUAGGCUGCAACUCGCCUACAUGAAGUCGGAAUCGCUAGUAAUCGCGGAUCAGCACGCCGCGGUGAAUACGUUCCCGGGCCU